UGCGAGUCAUAUGUUCUUCGUGAACAUGGCGUACUGCUCAGUAACACGUGGAUAACCUGCCCUUGGGACCGGGAUAACCCCGGGAAACUGGGGAUAAUACCGGAUAACGCAUAUCUGCUGGAAUGCUUUAUGCGUAAAAUGGAUUUGUCUGCCCAAGGAUGGGUCUGCGGCCUAUCAGGUAGUAGUGGGUGUAAUAUACCUACUAGCCUACGACGGGUACGGGUUGUGAGAGCAAGAGCCCGGAGAUGGAUUCUGAGACAUGAAUCCAGGCCCUACGGGGCGCAGCAGGCGCGAAAACUUUACAAUGCGGGAAACCGUGAUAAGGGGACACCGAGUGCCAGCAUCAUAUGUUGGCUGUCCAGAUGUGUGAAAUACAUCUGUUAGCAAGGGCCGGGCAAGACCGGUGCCAGCCGCCGCGGUAACACCGGCGGCCCGAGUGGUGAUCGUGAUUAUUGGGUCUAAAGGGUCCGUAGCCGGUUUGGUCAGUCCUCCGGGAAAUCUGACGGCUCAACCGUUAGGCUUUCGGUGGAUACUGCCAGACUUGGAACCGGGAGAGGUAAGAGGUACUACAGGGGUAGGAGUGAAAUCUUGUAAUCCCUGUGAGACCACCUGUGGCGA
Molecule: ribosomal RNA, 618 nt
Filed under: uncultured archaeon
Lineage: Archaea
Description: bacterial SSU rRNA
Rfam family: Archaeal small subunit ribosomal RNA
Source: RNAcentral